This 815-nucleotide long non-coding RNA is filed under the name Sorghum bicolor (sorghum). RNAcentral describes it as "long non-coding RNA (SBIC_LNC000962)". The record is from RNAcentral. Lineage: Eukaryota; Viridiplantae; Streptophyta; Magnoliopsida; Poales; Poaceae.
UUAACCCUAGUUAGUCUAUGAUUAGACAAUAUUUACCACAAACAAACGAAAAGUGAUACAGUAGCGAAAUCCAAAAAAAUUUCACAUCUAAACAAAGCUGAAGUAGUAGAUAAAAACUGUGAACGGGAAAGUAGAAACCAAAUGAAAACGGACUCCCCAGCACUAAUUCGAUUUAUUACCUGUUUUAUUUAAUUUGGAAUUUAAAGUCGAUUUAGACUAUAGAUAUGGACAACACAAACAUGUAGCAUUUUUAGUCACAAAGUUAAUUAGAAGAAGGACAGCAAAAAAAGCAGGAAUUUUAGCUAUUUAAUAUUAUAUUAGGUAGGUAUAGAUAGAUUAACAAACAUGCUCAUAUAUAUUGCAGUGAAAUAUAACACAUACUAGAAUCGGACUCGGUACAAUUACUAGAUGUGAGUUGUUCUAAUUUAUAUGAGCAAAAGUGAUGAGUGCAUGUUAUUUAGAACCGGACUCUAUCAACAGUCAUCACUAGAUGCGAGCUAUUCUAAAUCGUACGAACAUAGAUCAUAUAAGUCUACACAGGACAAACUCUCCAUUAGCUAGGGAGAGGACAAAAAACCAAUAAGACAAGAUAGGUAUAGAUAUACUCUUCUUAUCAUCCUCAUUUACUAUAAACUUUUGUUAGUUUUUAUGUCCCAUUGCAAUGCACGGGAAUAAAAAAUUCUACUGUUGUUUGGUUCAUUUUUUUAGCUGGCCUAGAAACAUAAAAGUGAUUCCUUAUCCAUCCAUUUUUCUCGACCACCUACCUCUAACUUCCGAUAGUCGAGAGUUUCUUCCAUCUAGACUCAUAUGACCCU